Molecule: non-coding RNA, 1174 nt
Filed under: Caenorhabditis japonica
Lineage: Eukaryota; Metazoa; Nematoda; Chromadorea; Rhabditida; Rhabditidae
Description: Eukaryotic small subunit ribosomal RNA
Rfam family: Eukaryotic small subunit ribosomal RNA
Source: Rfam by way of RNAcentral
UACCUGAUUGAUUCUGUCAGCGCGAUAUGCUCAAGUAAAAGAUUAAGCCAUGCAUGCUUUGAUUCAUAAAUGAAAAUUGCGUACGGCUCAUUAGAGCAGAUAUCACCUUUCUCGGAAUCCUGAAAAGGAUAACUGCGGAAAUUCUGGAGCUAAUACAUGCGACUAUACUCCAACGCAAGGCGGGGUGCAAUUAUUAGAACAGACCAAACGUUUUCGGACGUUGUUUGUUGACUCUGAAUACCGUCGUUUACUGUCAGUUUCGACUGACUCUAUCCGAGAAGGGUGUCUGCCCUUUCAACUAGAUGGUAAUCUAUUGGACUACCAUGGUUGUUACGGGUAACGGAGAAUUAGGGUUCGACUCCGGAGAGGGAGCCUUAGAAACGGCUACCACGUCCAAGGAAGGCAGCAGGCGCGAAACUUAUCCACUGUUGAGUAUGAGAUAGUGACUAAAAAUAUAAAGACUCAUCCUUUUGGAUGAGUUAUUUCAAUGAGUUGAAUAUAAAUUAUUCUUCGAGUAGCAAGGAGAGGGCAAGUCUGGUGCCAGCAGCCGCGGUAAUUCCAGCUCUCCUAGUGUAUCUCGUUAUUGCUGCGGUUAAAAAGCUCGUAGUUGGAUCUAGGUUACGUGCCGCAGUUCGCAAUUUGCGUUAACUGUGGUCGUGACUUAUAAUUUGCUGGUUUGAGGUUGGGUUCGCCCUUCAACUGCCAGCAGGUUUACCUUGAAUAAAUCAGAGUGCUCAAUACAGGCGCUUGCUUGAAUAGCUCAUCAUGGAAUAAUGAAACAGGACUUCGGUUCUUUUUGUUGGUUCUAGAAUUGAUCUAAUGGUUAAGAGGGACAAACCGGGGGCAUUCGUAUCAUUACGCGAGAGGUGAAAUUCGUGGACCGUAGUGAGACGCCCAAUAGCGAAAGCAUUUGCCAAGAAUGUCUUCAUUAAUCAAGAACGAAAGUCAGAGGUUCGAAGGCGAUUAGAUACCGCCCUAGUUCUGACCGUAAACGAUGCCAUCUCGCGAUUCGGAGGGUUCAUGCCCUACCGAGGAGCUACCCGGAAACGAAAGUCUUUCGGUUCCGGGGGUAGUAUGGUUGCAAAGCUGAAACUUAAAGAAAUUGACGGAAGGGCACCACAAGGCGUGGAGCUUGCGGCUUAAUUUGACUCAACACGGGAAAACUCACCCGGUC